This 404-nucleotide ribosomal RNA is filed under the name uncultured Comamonadaceae bacterium. RNAcentral's name for it is "bacterial SSU rRNA". It matches the Rfam family "Bacterial small subunit ribosomal RNA", at positions 1 to 410 of the family's 1533-position model. Lineage: Bacteria; Pseudomonadati; Pseudomonadota; Betaproteobacteria; Burkholderiales; Comamonadaceae. The record is from RNAcentral.
CGACGAGUUUGAUCCUGGCUCAGAUUAGAACGCUGGCGGAAUGCGUUUACGACAUGCAAGUCGAACGGUAGAGGGGGCAACCCCUUGAGAGUGGCGAACGGGUGAGUAAUGUAUCGGAACGUGCCCAGUCGUGGGGGAUAACGUAGUGAAAAUUACGCUAAUACCGCAUACGAUCUAUGGAUGAAAGCGGGGGAUCGCAAGACCUCGCGCGAUUGGAGCGGCCGAUAUCAGAUUAGGUAGUUGGUAGGGUAAAGGCCUACCAAGCCAACGAUCUGUAGCUGGUCUGAGAGGACGACCAGCCACACUGGAACUGAGACACGGUCCAGACUCCUACGGGAGGCAGCAGUGGGGAAUUUUGGACAAUGGGGCGAAAGCCUGAUCCAGCCAUUCCCGCGUGCAGGAUG